Molecule: ribosomal RNA, 685 nt
Filed under: Ablaberoides sp. BMNH 671485
Lineage: Eukaryota; Metazoa; Arthropoda; Insecta; Coleoptera; Scarabaeidae
Description: eukaryotic LSU rRNA
Rfam family: Eukaryotic large subunit ribosomal RNA
Source: RNAcentral
GGGACCCGUCUUGAAACACGGACCAAGGAGUCUAGCAUGUGCGCGAGUCAUUGGGAUAUUGACUAAACCUAAAGGCGCAAUGAAAGUGAAGGUCCGCCACGCGCGGACCUAGGGAAGAUGGGCUGUCUCGAGGGACAGUCUCGCAUUCCCGGGGCGUCUCGUUCUCGUCACGAGAAGAGGCGCACCCAGAGCGUACACGCUGGGACCCGAAAGAUGGUGAACUAUGCCUGGUCAGGACGAAGUCAGGGGAAACCCUGAUGGAGGUCCGUAGCGAUUCUGACGUGCAAAUCGAUCGUCGGAACUGGGUAUAGGGGCGAAAGACUAAUCGAACCAUCUAGUAGCUGGUUCCCUCCGAAGUUUCCCUCAGGAUAGCUGGCGCUCGCUUCUCGCGAGUCUCAUUCGGUAAAGCGAAUGAUUAGAGGCAUUGGGGUCGAAACGGCCUCAACCUAUUCUCAAACUUUAAAUGGGUGAGAUCUCCGGCUUGCUUGAACUGUGAAGCCGCGAGAUAUCGGAUCAGAGUGCCAAGUGGGCCACUUUUGGUAAGCAGAACUGGCGCUGUGGGAUGAACCAAACGCCGAGUUAAAGCGCCUAAAUCGACGCUUAUGGGAUACCAUGAAAGGCGUUGGUAACUUAAGACAGCAGGACGGUGGCCAUGGAAGUCGGAAUCCGCUAAGGAGUGUGUAAA